This is a non-coding RNA of Phrynosoma platyrhinos (Desert horned lizard), 71 nucleotides long. The record is from the annotation of a GenBank genome assembly. Lineage: Eukaryota; Metazoa; Chordata; Lepidosauria; Squamata; Phrynosomatidae.
GCCAGCGUGGCAUAGUGCUUUGUGCGCUGGACUAUGACUCUGGAGACCUGGGUUCAAAUCCCCGCUUGGCC